Molecule: ribosomal RNA, 477 nt
Filed under: uncultured anaerobic ammonium-oxidizing bacterium
Lineage: Bacteria
Description: bacterial SSU rRNA
Rfam family: Bacterial small subunit ribosomal RNA
Source: RNAcentral
UUCGCAAUGCCCGAAAGGGUGACGAAGCGACGCCGCGUGUGGGAAGAAGGCCUUCGGGUUGUAAACCACUGUUGGGAGUUAGGAAGUGUGGAAGUGUUAAUAGCGCUUUCACUUGACUAAAGCUCCAGAGGAAGCCACGGCUAACUCUGUGCCAGCAGCCGCGGUAAUACAGAGGCGGCAAGCGUUGUUCGGAAUUAUUGGGCGUAAAGAGCACGUAGGUGGUUUUGUAAGUCAGAUGUGAAAGCCUUCUGUUCAAAGGAAGAACGGCAUCUGAAACUGCAGAUCUUGAGUGUAGGAGGGGAGAGUGGAACUUCUGGUGGAGCGGUGAAAUGCGUAGAUAUCAGAAGGAACGUCGGCGGCGAAAGCGACUCUCUGGCCUAUUACUGACACUGAGUGUGCGAAAGUUGGGGGAGCAAACGGGAUUAGAUACCCCGGUAGUCCUAACUGUAAACGAUGGGCACUAAGUAGAGGGGUUUU